CGGGAUGUAGUUCAGUUGGUUAGAAUGCUAGUUUUGGGAACUAGUGGUCACUGGUUCGAGUCCAGUUAUCCCGA
This 74-nucleotide transfer RNA is filed under the name Candidatus Methanofastidiosia archaeon. RNAcentral's name for it is "tRNA-Pro". It matches the Rfam family "tRNA". Rfam says of the family: Transfer RNA (tRNA) molecules are approximately 80 nucleotides in length. Their secondary structure includes four short double-helical elements and three loops (D, anti-codon, and T loops). The record is from RNAcentral. Lineage: Archaea; Methanobacteriati; Methanobacteriota; Candidatus Methanofastidiosia.